This 498-nucleotide ribosomal RNA is filed under the name uncultured bacterium. RNAcentral's name for it is "partial 16S ribosomal RNA". It matches the Rfam family "Bacterial small subunit ribosomal RNA", at positions 29 to 523 of the family's 1533-position model. The record is from RNAcentral.
AUUGAACGCUGGCGGAAUGCUUUACACAUGCAAGUCGAACGGCAGCACGGGGCAACCCUGGUGGCGAGUGGCGAACGGGUGAGUAAUACAUCGGAACGUGCCCAGUCGUGGGGGAUAACGUAGCGAAAGUUACGCUAAUACCGCAUACGAUCUACGGAUGAAAGCGGGGGACCGUAAGGCCUCGCGCGAUUGGAGCGGCCGAUGUCAGAUUAGGUAGUUGGUGAGGUAAAGGCUCACCAAGCCGACGAUCUGUAGCUGGUCUGAGAGGACGACCAGCCACACUGGGACUGAGACACGGCCCAGACUCCUACGGGAGGCAGCAGUGGGGAAUUUUGGACAAUGGGGGCAACCCUGAUCCAGCAGUGCCGCGUGAGUGAAGAAGGCCUUCGGGUUGUAAAGCUCUUUUGUCAGGGAAGAAACACCGGCUCUAACACAGUCUGGGAAUGACGGUACCUGAAGAAUAAGCACCGGCUAACUACGUGCCAGCCGCCGCAGUAA